UAUUUAAUCGAAAUUUUUAGCAGAUUUUUUUUUAGUAAAAAUGUUUAUAACAAAAUUCUUUUUAUUAAAUAUAAAUCGAAAAAGUGCAAUUAAAAAAUUUAAGACACGUGACUGUUGGUAAAUAUAAAAACGAAAGUGAAUAAGAUAAGAUAAAAAUUAACAAUGACCUUUUUUUCUGAACAGAAUUUAUAAUUAUAAUAAUGAUCGAGUGAUAAGUACUUGUUAGGAUUUCAAGCUACUGUAAUAUACAGGUUCAGUUUCCUGAAAUGUUUAGAGUCAACAACAUUUCUUGUGUCAAUAAAAGUUCUUUAGAUUGUUGUUUUUUCUUGUAAAUUUUUAAUUCUUUGUAAUUACUGCAGUUCUGAUAAAACGAAUAUUGCAAUUUGUUUUUACUAAAAAUGAGUUAAACAACAUAUGAUUGCUGUCGAGUUUAUUACAAUUCCCCCGGGGAUCUAAGAAGUUUGGAAAUAAGACGGGAAAACAACUGUUUAGUCCUAUUGUGGGAAAAGGCCUCAACAUGUGCAACGAAAUGUUCGUGGCUGUGGUAGGAUUCGUAAUUCCCGCGGAACUAAUGCGCAUGGGACAAGAGACCGAAGCCGCUUGUUAGCAGACGACAAAGCCACGUGGUGGAAAAUUUAAGAAAGAGAAAUUCUUCCGAGCCCUCAACAAUUGAGUGAAUUGUUUUCUAAUAAUUAUAAAAUAAAAUACUUCUAGUGAAAAUCGGACUAUUGAUCAUCAAGUACAACAAACAGUUUUCAACCUUGGUAUUCAACAUUUCCUUGCGCAGUCGCAUCAAACAGCAGUCCUUCAAGAUAUAAGAAAAGGGCAUAGAACAAAGACGAAGUUGCAUAAACAGAACAAGAAGGACGUAUGACAAACACCAGAUUCUCUUCCAAAGGAUGGUAUUCUCUAUUCCGAAGAAUUUUCCAGAGAACAACUAAUUUUCGAAGAUACUGGAGUUUUAAUAAAUUUUCCUGUAGAACUUCAUAAAGAAUGAAGAUAUAUUUUUUUUUCUCAAAUAUUAAUGACGAGUGAACGAACAGGACGCAAGAAGACACCCCAUCGUGGUUUAAAAUCAGUGGAAAAUCUGUGGAAAAUGUAAUAUUUAGCUCUCAUUGUAUUAGGUAAUUUUUCACCGAGUGCUAGAAAUAUUUGUUAUUUAGCUAGGGAUUUUAAAACCAAAAAAAUGAAUUAUAUUAGCUAGGUAAUUAGCAAUGUUAGUAGUUUUUAGGUAAAAAUAAUGUUAACAGAAGAGACUUCAACAUCCAGCAUCAACUCAUCAUAAAGGGUUACGGCGUCAACUCACGCAACAUUCUUCCAUCUGAAGAGGAGGGCCAUCACCUGAAAUGCAGAGGGAUGGUUCAAGUCUGAUGCUACCUUUGGCUCGACAACAGUUGUUUUUCGUUUAUUUAACAAGAAAGAAGAAUUACAGGAAAAUGUAUUUUUUUAACAAGAACGUAUGUAAAAAAAGGAGACCAAAAGAAAAAGCAAAAAGAAACUGAAGAUAUAAUUCAUGACAUAGAGGAUCUUAUCAACAAUAAGUUACUUAUGUGCAAGAAUUCAUAAAUAUAUUUUUUUUAAUGGUAGCUUUGAGAACAUUUACAUUUUAUGUUGAAUGAAAACAUGUAAUAUUAUAUGAUAUGAUACAAAAAUAAAUUAUUAAAGUAUAUUAUCAAAAAAAUAAAAAAAUUUGAUUAUUUAUUUACUUCUUUAAUUCCUAUCUUUAAAGUCUGAUUUAAUGAGAAUGAAUUAUUUUAUUCAAAGACUACGUGAAAAAGAAUUUAAACCUAAUUCAACAACUCGGAUGCAGGCUCUUCUUCCAGCAGUGUAGUCUUUCUGAACUAAUUUACUCGUACCGCAUUGGUGUAUAAUUUAAA
Long non-coding RNA from Leptopilina heterotoma, 1877 nucleotides. RefSeq lists it as uncharacterized. The record is from RefSeq and is a predicted model, not a curated record. The transcript is spliced from 10 exons. Lineage: Eukaryota; Metazoa; Arthropoda; Insecta; Hymenoptera; Figitidae.